This 137-nucleotide transfer RNA is filed under the name Pseudomonas sp. GD03875. RNAcentral describes it as "tRNA-OTHER". RNAcentral also lists the same sequence under 1 other name. Lineage: Bacteria; Pseudomonadati; Pseudomonadota; Gammaproteobacteria; Pseudomonadales; Pseudomonadaceae. The record is from RNAcentral.
GCCGUAGUUCAAUGGCAGAACACGAAAAUACGUUUCACCACCCUUGUCGUCGCAUCUUUUUCAGGCCCGCCACGGCGGGCCGGCAGCGAAUGCCACAGGCACUACAUCGUGUCGCGGGUUCGAAUCCCGCCCCGGCA